This 361-nucleotide long non-coding RNA is filed under the name Zea mays. RNAcentral's name for it is "long non-coding RNA (ZMAY_LNC003068)". The record is from RNAcentral. Lineage: Eukaryota; Viridiplantae; Streptophyta; Magnoliopsida; Poales; Poaceae.
GAGUGGUUUGGUACAAGGCGUCAAAGUCGGUAACCCAAUCGAUAGGAGUGGGAGGGGCUGCGAAGACAUGGUGUACGAGGAGAGAGCCAGGAGGAGGAGCCCCCACAAAGCCACCGGGAGGGGGGCUAGGUCCGGGAGUGGCGAGCAUGUUGACGAUGAUCAUGGGUUGUGAUGACGACAAGGCUUCGAUCGUCAUCGAGAUAAUCACGACACUACGAAACACAAAUGGUCCAAUAGCGUGGCGACCCUCCUGAGGGUGGAUGGAGGCAGGCGGGUGGAAGAGUUCGAGCAGUCACUGAGAACCGGGUUCAUGACUCUAUCAAAGGCCAUGAAUGUGCCCCGAAAAAGCUGGCCAUCGUGA